This 373-nucleotide ribosomal RNA is filed under the name uncultured bacterium. Its description in RNAcentral is "bacterial SSU rRNA". It matches the Rfam family "Bacterial small subunit ribosomal RNA", at positions 30 to 416 of the family's 1533-position model. The record is from RNAcentral.
AUUGAACGCUGGCGGCAGGCCUAACACAUGCAAGUCGAGCGGGGUUUUCGGACCUAGCGGCGGACGGGUGAGUAAUGCGUAGGAAGCUACCCGAUAGAGGGGAUACCAGUUGGAAACGACUGUUAAUACCGCAUAAUGUCUACGGACCAAAGUGUGGGACCUUCGGGCCACAUGCUAUCGGAUGCGCCUACGUGGGAUUAGCUAGUUGGUGGGGUAAUGGCUCACCAAGGCGACGAUCCCUAGCUGGUUUGAGAGGAUGAUCAGCCACACUGGGACUGAGACACGGCCCAGACUCCUACGGGAGGCAGCAGUGGGGAAUAUUGGACAAUGGGCGAAAGCCUGAUCCAGCAAUGCCGCGUGAGUGAUGAAGGCC